RNAcentral lists this ribosomal RNA (789 nucleotides) under uncultured bacterium. RNAcentral's name for it is "bacterial SSU rRNA". It matches the Rfam family "Bacterial small subunit ribosomal RNA", at positions 8 to 798 of the family's 1533-position model. The record is from RNAcentral.
AGAGUUUGAUCAUGGCUCAGGACGAACGCUGGCGGCGUGCUUAACACAUGCAAGUCGAACGGAAAGGCCCCUUCGGGGGUACUCGAGUGGCGAACGGGUGAGUAACACGUGGGUGAUCUGCCCUGCACUUUGGGAUAAGCCUGGGAAACUGGGUCUAAUACCGAACAGGACCGCAUGCUUCAUGGUGUGUGGUGGAAAGCUUUUGCGGUGUGGGAUGGGCCCGCGGCCUAUCAGCUUGUUGGUGGGGUAAUGGCCUACCAAGGCGACGACGGGUAGCCGGCCUGAGAGGGUGUCCGGCCACACUGGGACUGAGAUACGGCCCAGACUCCUACGGGAGGCAGCAGUGGGGAAUAUUGCACAAUGGGCGCAAGCCUGAUGCAGCGACGCCGCGUGGGGGGUGACGGCCUUCGGGUUGUAAACCUCUUUCAGUAUCGGCGAAGCUCCAGGAUUUUUCUUGGGGUGACGGUAGGUACAGAAGAAGCACCGGCCAACUACGUGCCAGCAGCCGCGGUAAUACGUAGGGUGCGAGCGUUGUCCGGAAUUACUGGGCGUAAAGAGCUCGUAGGUGGUUUGUCACGUUGUCUGUGAAAACUCACAGCUUAACUGUGGGCGUGCGGGCGAUACGGGCAGACUGGAGUACUGUAGGGGAGACUGGAAUUCCUGGUGUAGCGGUGGAAUGCGCAGAUAUCAGGAGGAACACCGGUGGCGAAGGCGGGUCUCCGGGCAGUAACUGACGCUGAGGAGCGAAAGCGUGGGGAGCGAACAGGAUUAGAUACCCUGGUAGUCCAA